GACGAACGCUGGCGGCGUGCUUAACACAUGCAAGUCGAACGGGAUCCCAAGGCUUUUUGUUUUUGGUGAGAGUGGCGAACGGGUGAGUAACACGUGAGUAACCUGCCCCCUUCUUUUGGAUAACCGCAUGAAAGUGUGGCUAAUACAGGAUAUUCCAGGCUGGUCGCAUGAUUGGUUUGGGAAAUGGUUUGGUCUGGUGGGGGAUGGGCUCGCGGCCUAUCAGCUUGUUGGUGGGGUGAUGGCCUACCAAGGCGGUGACGGGUAGCCGGCCUGAGAGGGUGGGCGGUCACACUGGGACUGAGAUACGGCCCAGACGCCUACGGGAGGCAGCAGUGGGGGAUUUUGCACAAUGGGCGCAAGCCUGAUGCAGCGACGCCGCGUGAGGGAUGAAGGCCUUCGGGUUGUAAACCUCUUUCGCUGGGUUGAAAGGCCAUGCUUUGGGUGUGGUUGAUUUGAACUGGUAAAGAAGUACCGGCUAACUACGUG
RNAcentral lists this ribosomal RNA (486 nucleotides) under uncultured bacterium. Its description in RNAcentral is "partial 16S ribosomal RNA". It matches the Rfam family "Bacterial small subunit ribosomal RNA", at positions 28 to 507 of the family's 1533-position model. The record is from RNAcentral.